CAUUAAAGAGUUAGGGUCUCUCCAGGCCCGACCUCCCAACCCUUUGUCUACCUUGCCGCUUGUUGCUUCGGCGGACCCGUCUCACGACCGCCUGGGGGACUGCCGAAAGGCGUCUCUUGGCCCGCGUCCGCCGAUAGCCACCUCCAAACUCUGGAUGAAUCGUGUUUUUCUCUGAGUUUUAUGAUAAAUAAAAGCAAAAACUUUCAACAACGGAUCUCUUGGUUCUGGCAUCGAUGAAGAACGCAGCGAAAUGCGAUAAGUAAUGCGAAUUGCAGAAUUCCAGUGAGUCAUCGAAUCUUUGAACGCACAUUGCGCCCUUUGGCAUUCCAAAGGGCAUGCCUGUUCGAGCGUCAUGAUCACCCCUCAAGCCCCCGUGCUUGAUGUUGGACGGUGUAUGGUCGAGCCUUCUCGACCCCUCCUAAAGACAAUGACGGCGGCCUGCGGAUCCCCCGGUACACUGAGCUUUUCGUUGAGAGCAUGUAUCGGACAAGGGCGCCCAGGCUCCGGUCUUCUUCCUUCCACUAGGAAACAUUUCAAGGUUGACCUCGGAUCAGGUAGGGAUACGCGCUGAACUUAAGCAUAUCAAUAAGCGCAGGAAAAGAAACCAACAGGGAUUGCCUCAGUAACGGCGAGUGAAGCGGCAACAGCUCAAAUUUGAAAUCUGGCCCCCCGGGGUCCGAGUUGUAAUUUGUAGAGGAUGUUUUGGGUACCGCCCCGGUUUAAAUUUCUUGGAACAGAAUGUCAGAGAGGGUGAGAAUCCCGUCUUGGACCGGUGGUAGGGCCUGUGUAAAACUCCUUCGACGAGUCGAGUUGUUUGGGAAUGCAGCUCAAAAUGGGUGGUAAAUUUCAUCUAAAGCUAAAUAUUGGCCAGAGACCGAUAGCGCACAAGUAGAGUGAUCGAAAGAUGAAAAGAACUUUGAAAAGAGAGUUAAACAGUAUGUGAAAUUGUUGAAAGGGAAGCGCUUGCAACCAGACUUGAGCGCGACGGUUCCCCCAGCCUUUUGGCUGGGUUACUCCGUCGUGUCCAGGCCAACAUCGGUUCUGAGGGUCGGUCAAAGGCUCUGGGAAUGUAUCUACCCACGGGUAGACUUAUAGACCAGGGUGUCAUGCGGCCUCUCGGGACCGAGGAACGCGCUUCGGCUCGGAUGUUGGCGUAAUGGUUGUCAGCGACCCGUCUUGAAACACGGACCAAGGAGUCUAACAUCUAUGCGAGUGUUUGGGUGUCAAACCCGGAACGCGAAAUGAAAGUGAACGGAGGUAGGAAGCUUCGGCUGCACUAUCGACCGAUCCUGAAGUUUACGGAAGGAUUUGAGUAAGAGCAUAGCUGUUGGGACCCGAAAGAUGGUGAACUAUGCCUGAAUAGGGUGAAGCCAGAGGAAACUCUGGUGGAGGCUCGCAGCGGUUCUGACGUGCAAAUCGAUCGUCAAAUUUGGGUAUAGGGGCGAAAGACUAAUCGAACCAUUAGAAGACAAACUACGUUAAGAAAUCAGUCAAUUUUAAUAAUGAUCCGUCAAUUUUGGAUUAUUCUUACCGUAGUAGUUACCGGUGGUUAAGUGUAACCCUGAAAGUGGUUGCAAGUGCCUAGUUCUGGCGCGACACUGUCAAAUUGCGGGGACUCCCUAAAGCUUCGACGACCGCCCAGUCUAUGAAAAUAGGCUGCAGCGCACCAGGUUAACGACCUUGGGUAUGGUAAAACUGUCGAAGAUGUAACAAUGGGUAAUCUGCAGCCAAGUCCUAAGGGCCUUUAAGGUCUAUGGAUGCAGUUCACAGACUAAAUGGCAGUGGGCUCAUAUGGGCUUAAGAUAUAGUCGGUCCCCCAGGGAAACCUGGGCGCAUACGCUAAAUCUAGGGUAUAGACUCUACGUAGGUAGUUACCUUAGACCUGAACGGUGCGGGCGCC
This 1900-nucleotide small RNA is filed under the name Cladophialophora sp. CBS 142308. Its description in RNAcentral is "eukaryotic LSU rRNA". The stretch from base 541 to 1900 matches the Rfam family "Eukaryotic large subunit ribosomal RNA", at positions 1 to 1399 of the family's 3401-position model. Lineage: Eukaryota; Fungi; Ascomycota; Eurotiomycetes; Chaetothyriales; Herpotrichiellaceae. The record is from RNAcentral. RNAcentral also lists the same sequence under 1 other name.